This 1037-nucleotide long non-coding RNA is filed under the name Hordeum vulgare. Its description in RNAcentral is "long non-coding RNA (HVUL_LNC002039)". The record is from RNAcentral. Lineage: Eukaryota; Viridiplantae; Streptophyta; Magnoliopsida; Poales; Poaceae.
AGCUUUUAUGAGUGCAAGAAUAUGUUGGGUGUCCUUAAUUAAGAUGCCAUAUGUGAAGAUUGACGCCUGCACCAAUAAUUGCAUGUUAUACUACAAGCAAGAUGAUAAGAAAGAGAAGUGUGAUAUUUGUGGAGAAAGUCGGUAUGAAGUUGUUGAGGGAGGAAGCUUAGAAAUAUGAGUGGCUGUAAGACCAUGGUGGUGCACUGUUAUUUCCUGGGAGGCCUUCGUUGAUGAAUGGUGUGAUGCUAAAUGGAUCGCAACAUCUAAGAAAAAUCGUGUUAAUCGCCUCAACUCUAAGUACAAGGCCCAUAGAGGUGGAUCUAAUUCCUUGACGACAGUUUGCCAAAAAUUGGUACCCUCCUAACUUUUGAAUAAAAAUUAAGUAUGUUUUCUAUGUAGUGACUUUGUUUUUUCUUUAUCUUAGUCUGAGAAAGAAGGAAGAGAGGUAUCUAAUAUUGAGGCACGGAUAUAUACGCAUAGAGGAAAAAGAUCCAAAGAAUUGUCAUCCAAAGGAUUUGUACAAAAAUAAGGUUGUUAACAUGCAUGGUGAAGACGUACUGAUUGGAAGCAUUGUCAUGUUGAACCACAAGCCCUUUAUGAAGCUGGUGGUGGGAAGCCGCAUGGAAAGUGGUCACUAUUUAAUGGUGCUGUGGAGGGUAAAGAAACUCUUAGGGAGGUGCAGGUCAAUCGCUCUUUGUCUUCAUCAAAGCGCCAACGAAUACAACAUGAUAAAAGGAUUGCUCAACAUAAUGAGUUAAUGAAAGCACAUGCACAAAGUAUGGUUGAUUGGGGGGAAUCUGUGCAGGCUACAGUGGAGAGUAACCCUGGUGGUGUGAACAAGUUUCUUAUGGUGAAUACAUUCUUUUUGUGCAGUCAUUUUGUUUCUAUUGUAGCCACUUGCCAUAACUUUCUAAUUUGUCUCACAAAUUUCAGACCAUUGCGUCCCUUCAAGGAAUUCCAGGGCCUGAGAUUCCCUGCAUUACUAUACCCCCACCUCCAACUUUUCCAACUUUAACCACUUCGUCUCCAAUCUUUUC